This is a long non-coding RNA of Globicephala melas (long-finned pilot whale), 585 nucleotides long. RefSeq lists it as uncharacterized. NCBI's taxonomy places the organism in Eukaryota, Metazoa, Chordata, Mammalia, Artiodactyla, Delphinidae. The record is from RefSeq and is a predicted model, not a curated record.
CUCAAACUCUCCCGGCGUCGGGCCAGCCGGGGGGAAGCUGCGAAUGCGCGAGGCGGGUGAAGGCGGAGGUGAGGAAGGAAGGGGCUGGGAAAUGGGAAGAGGUCACUCUGUCUCGGAAACUACAUAACGACUGAGAAGGACCUCCAAACAAGACUGGAACCAGUAGGAAGUUGUACAGUGGGAAGAAGAGGAUGGUCAAGAUUGACAUGGCUGGAAGAUGAGAGAACUCCCUCCUGAUGGUUUCUACUUGCCUUUGAAAUUCAUCAGCUAAGGGCGAGGAAGAGAAGUCGGGGUGUGAUUAUAUUAUAGAAGUCUCGUAUGUUUGACCCAACCACAAGAACCAUUGCACCAGAAGAGGCAAAAACCCCCUAAGAGGGAGAGAAGAGAAAACAGCAACUGGUCAAAGAGAGGAACAGAAGAGUAAAUCAGAAAAGGAAAUGGCCACCCCUGUCUAAUUAGAUGGUACCCUCUGAGAUGGAGAGAUUACAUCCCCAACUCAUCUACAUCACGUUUAAGGAUCUGAAUGGUCACUUCAGCUCCUGUUGCAUCUUAGUGGAGGCUGCUUGUGCAAAAUGACGUUUGGCA